This 45-nucleotide non-coding RNA is filed under the name Trichobilharzia regenti. The record is from RNAcentral. Lineage: Eukaryota; Metazoa; Platyhelminthes; Trematoda; Strigeidida; Schistosomatidae.
AUCCAGUUGACGGGUCCAAAAUAGGACGAAAUGCGCAUCCUGGAU